GAAAACCCGUUUCUCGUACGUUCAUGGAAGUUAAGCAACGUCAAGCCUGAACAGUACCUAGAUGGGUGACCGCUUGGGAAUACCAGGUGCUGUUA
Acanthosepion pharaonis is the source of this 95-nucleotide non-coding RNA. Lineage: Eukaryota; Metazoa; Mollusca; Cephalopoda; Sepiida; Sepiidae. The record is from the annotation of a GenBank genome assembly.